RNAcentral lists this non-coding RNA (60 nucleotides) under unclassified sequences. Its description in RNAcentral is "L2-Alphaproteobacteria ribosomal protein leader". It matches the Rfam family "L2-Alphaproteobacteria ribosomal protein leader". The record is from RNAcentral.
GGGGACCUUCGGGGCCCUACACCCGGGCCUUUGGGCCCCUGAACAGACGGAAGACAGAAA